UGUUGCAGUCAGACAGUAUGACAUAGUCUAUAUUGAUGUUUUUAGAAGUAUUUUAUACAGUUGACCCUUUAACUGCAUGGGUCCACUUAUACAUGAGUUUUCUUCUCCUCUGCCAUCUCUGAGAGAGAAAAACCAACCCCUUCUCAUCCUCCUCCUCCUCUGCCCCUACUCAACAUGAAGAUGAUGAGCAUGAAGAUGUUGAUGACAAUCUACUUCCAGUUAAUGAAGAGUAAAAGUAUUUUCUCUUCCUUAUAAUUUUAAUAAUAUUUUCUCAAUUAUAAGAAUACAGUACAUAAUACAUAUAACAUAUAAAAUAUAUGUUAAUCAGCUUUAUGUUAUCAGUGAGGCUUCAGGUCAACAGUUGGCUAUUAGCAGUUAAAUUUUGGGGGAGUCAAAAGUUAUAUAUGGAUUCUUAACUACUCAGGAGACUGGGAA
Long non-coding RNA from Sapajus apella (tufted capuchin), 435 nucleotides. RefSeq lists it as uncharacterized. The transcript is spliced from 3 exons. The record is from RefSeq and is a predicted model, not a curated record. NCBI's taxonomy places the organism in Eukaryota, Metazoa, Chordata, Mammalia, Primates, Cebidae.